RNAcentral lists this ribosomal RNA (701 nucleotides) under uncultured bacterium. Its description in RNAcentral is "bacterial SSU rRNA". It matches the Rfam family "Bacterial small subunit ribosomal RNA", at positions 614 to 1323 of the family's 1533-position model. The record is from RNAcentral.
GAUGGAACUGCCAUUGAUACUGUAAGACUUGAAUGCUUAGGAAGUAACUAGAAUAUGUAGUGUAGCGGUGAAAUGCUUAGAUAUUACAUGGAAUACCAAUUGCGAAGGCAGGUUACUACUAAGUGAUUGACGCUGAUGGACGAAGGCGUGGGGAGCGAACAGGAUUAGAUACCCUGGUAGUCCACGCCGUAAACGAUGGAUACUAGCUGUUCGGAGCAAUCUGAGUGGCUAAGCGAAAGUGAUAAGUAUCCCACCUGGGGAGUACGCACGCAAGUGUGAAACUCAAAGGAAUAGACGGGGCCCGCACAAGCGGUGGAGCAUGUGGUUUAAUUCGAUGAUACGCGAGGAACCUUACCAGGGCUUAAAUGUAGAUUGACAGGUCUGGAAACAGACUUUUCUUCGGACAAUUUACAAGGUGCUGCAUGGUUGUCGUCAGCUCGUGCCGUGAGGUGUCAGGUUAAGUCCUAUAACGAGCGCAACCCCUGUCGUUAGUUGCCAGCGAGUCAUGUCGGGAACUCUAACGAGACUGCACAGUGUAAACUGUGAGGAAGGUGGGGAUGACGUCAAAUCAUCACGGCCCUUACGUCCUGGGCCACACACGUGCUAUAAUGGUAGGUACAGAGAGCAGCCACUGCGCGAGCAGGAGCGAAUCUACAAAACCUAUCUCAGUUCGGAUCGGAGUCUGCAACUCGACUCCGUGA